Ictidomys tridecemlineatus (thirteen-lined ground squirrel) is the source of this 999-nucleotide long non-coding RNA. RefSeq lists it as uncharacterized. The record is from RefSeq and is a predicted model, not a curated record. Lineage: Eukaryota; Metazoa; Chordata; Mammalia; Rodentia; Sciuridae.
GCACGCGCACUCGCUCCAAGUGAAGCGCGCGCUCGAAAACCACGCCUCCGGGUAGCCUUAGAGAGCAAUUCCCGCUUUGGACGUCCGGACAGGAACGCUAAACUUCCGGUUAUCUAAUGAGCCACGCCGAUCUUGGUACCGAACGCAACACUUCCGGUUGCUGGCUCUUUGGUUUGGUAGGGUGGGUACCUAGGUACGGAGGAUUGGUACUAGGCACGGAACGACGAACAAAAGCGGCUGAAUCUUUAUAGAGCUUUCGUGAAAUUAUAAAUUAUAGAUACAGGCGCAGUAUAAAAUCGAAAUAUGUCCAGGGUUUAAAGAUGAGGGACGGAGUGCUGCAGAGGCCUAGAAUACAAAUAUGUCCGAGUAUGGAAAUUUUUCCCAAAGGAAAUGAUAUAGAGCUGAGAGUAAAAGAAUUGGUUGUGUGCUCUGGGGGAAGCCAGUUGUCACAUCAUGAGGACUUGCAACCCUAUGAAGUGGUGCCCAUUGCAAAGAACUGAAGCCUCCUUCCAACACCAGCACAAACUUGCCUGGCAUGCGAGUGAGCCAUUUUAGAAGCAGAUCCUCCAGUCUGGCAAGCCUUCAGAUGACUUCAGGUGAUGAGACAAUGUCUUGAUUGCAGCCUGAUGAGAGGCCCUCAGCCAAAACUACAUAACUCAUUUACUCAGGAUUUUCAAACAGCAGAAACUGAACUAAAUUUUGGGUAUUUUGUUAUAUUGUGAUAGAAAAUUAAUACAUGAUAUUGUGCAAGUCUCUUUUGCUGUAGACUGAUUAUGAACCUCCAAAAUUCCUAUUUGAGGUGGGUCUUUUGUAGGUGGGUAGGUCACGAGAGUGGAGCCUUCAUAAAUGGUAUUAAUGCCUUUACAAGAGACUCCAGAAAGUAAAAAAAAUGGCUAUCUAUGAAGCAGAAAAUGGGUCCUCACAGACAGAAAUCUGUUGGUGCUUUGGACUUCCCAGCCUCCAAACUAUGAGAAAUAAAUUUCUAUUAUUUAUAAGUCA